GAUGAGCGCUGGCGGCGUGCCUAAUACAUGCAAGUCGAGCGAACGGACGAGAAGCUUGCUUCUCUGAUGUUAGCGGCGGACGGGUGAGUAACACGUGGAUAACCUACCUAUAAGACUGGGAUAACUUCGGGAAACCGGAGCUAAUACCGGAUAAUAUUUUGAACCGCAUGGUUCAAAAGUGAAAGACGGUCCUGCUGUCACUUAUAGAUGGAUCCGCGCUGCAUUAGCUAGUUGGUAAGGUAACGGCUUACCAAGGCAACGAUGCAUAGCCGACCUGAGAGGGUGAUCGGCCACACUGGAACUGAGACACGGUCCAGACUCCUACGGGAGGCAGCAGUAGGGAAUCUUCCGCAAUGGGCGAAAGCCUGACGGAGCAACGCCGCGUGAGUGAUGAAGGUCUUCGGAUCGUAAAACUCUGUUAUUAGGGAAGAACAUAUGUGUAAGUAACUGUGCACAUCUUGACGGUACCUAAUCAGAAAGCCACGGCUAACUACGUG
This 497-nucleotide ribosomal RNA is filed under the name uncultured bacterium. Its description in RNAcentral is "partial 16S ribosomal RNA". It matches the Rfam family "Bacterial small subunit ribosomal RNA", at positions 28 to 507 of the family's 1533-position model. The record is from RNAcentral.